AUGUAGCUCAGUUGGUAGAGUGCUUGCCUAGCAUGCAUGAGGUCCUGGGUUCAAUUCCCAGCAU
Molecule: transfer RNA, 64 nt
Filed under: Cricetulus griseus (Chinese hamster)
Lineage: Eukaryota; Metazoa; Chordata; Mammalia; Rodentia; Cricetidae
Rfam family: tRNA
About the family: Transfer RNA (tRNA) molecules are approximately 80 nucleotides in length. Their secondary structure includes four short double-helical elements and three loops (D, anti-codon, and T loops).
Source: Rfam by way of RNAcentral